UGGUAUCCAUGUGUUAAAUCA
Molecule: non-coding RNA, 21 nt
Organism: Caenorhabditis elegans
Lineage: Eukaryota; Metazoa; Nematoda; Chromadorea; Rhabditida; Rhabditidae
Source: Ensembl